UUCGCAAUGCCCGAAAGGGUGACGAUGCGACGCCGCGUGAGCGAAGAAGGCCCUAGGGUUGUAAAGCUCUGUCGAGGGUUAUGAAAUAUAGAUGGGUUAAUACCCCAUUUAUUUGACAAAAGCCCAAAAGGAAGCCACGGCUAACUCUGUGCCAGCAGCCGCGGUAAUACAGAGGUGGCGAGCGUUGUUCGGUAUUAUUGGGCGUAAAGAGCACGUAGGCGGCUCUGCAAGUCAGUUGUGAAAGCCUUCCGCUUAACGGGAGAACGGCAGCUGAAACUACGGGGCUAGAGUACGGGAGGGGAGAGUGGAACUUCUGGUGGAGCGGUGAAAUGCGUAGAUAUCAGAAGGAACGUCGGCGGCGAAAGCGACUCUCUGGCCUAUUACUGACACUGAGGUGCGAAAGUUAGGGGAGCAAACGGGAUUAGAUACCCCGGUAGUCCUAACCGUAAACGAUGGGCACUAAGUAGAGGGGUUUU
This 476-nucleotide ribosomal RNA is filed under the name uncultured anaerobic ammonium-oxidizing bacterium. RNAcentral's name for it is "bacterial SSU rRNA". It matches the Rfam family "Bacterial small subunit ribosomal RNA", at positions 365 to 832 of the family's 1533-position model. The record is from RNAcentral.